This 720-nucleotide ribosomal RNA is filed under the name uncultured Hymenobacter sp. RNAcentral's name for it is "bacterial SSU rRNA". It matches the Rfam family "Bacterial small subunit ribosomal RNA", at positions 771 to 1501 of the family's 1533-position model. The record is from RNAcentral. Lineage: Bacteria; Pseudomonadati; Bacteroidota; Cytophagia; Cytophagales; Hymenobacteraceae.
AACAGGAUUAGAUACCCUGGUAGUCCACGCCGUAAACGAUGGAUACUCGCUGCGAGCUAAAGAUUGUUCGUGGCUUAGGGAAACCGAUAAGUAUCCCACCUGGGGAGUACGCCGGCAACGGUGAAACUCAAAGGAAUUGACGGGGGCCCGCACAAGUGGUGGAGCAUGUGGUUUAAUUCGAUGAUACGCGAGGAACCUUACCUAGGCUAGAAUGCGCGUGACCGGCUCAGAGAUGAGCCUUUCCUUCGGGACACAAAGCAAGGUGCUGCAUGGCCGUCGUCAGCUCGUGCCGUGAGGUGUUGGGUUAAGUCCCGCAACGAGCGCAACCCCUAUAGUUAGUUGCCAGCACGCCAAGGUGGGGACUCUAGCUAGACUGCCUGCGCAAGCAGUGAGGAAGGCGGGGACGACGUCAGGUCAUCAUGGCCCUUACGCCUAGGGCGACACACGUGCUACAAUGGACGGUACAGCGGGUAGCUACCAGGCGACUGGAUGCCAAUCUCGAAAAGCCGUUCUCAGUUCGGAUUGGAGUCUGCAACUCGACUCCAUGAAGCUGGAAUCACUAGUAAUCGCGCAUCAGCCAUGGCGCGGUGAAUACGUUCCCGGGCCUUGUACACACCGCCCGUCAAGCCAUGAAAGUCUGGUAGACCUGAAGCUGGUGCUCGUCACAGAAGCCAGUUAGGGUAGAACAGGUAAUUAGGGCUAAGUCGUAACAAGGUAACC